AGUGAACGCUGGCGGUAGGCCUAACACAUGCAAGUCGAACGGCAGCACAGUAAGAGCUUGCUCUUACGGGUGGCGAGUGGCGGACGGGUGAGGAAUACAUCGGAAUCUACUUUUUCGUGGGGGAUAACGUAGGGAAACUUACGCUAAUACCGCAUACGACCUACGGGUGAAAGCAGGGGAUCUACGGACCUUGCGCGAUUGAAUGAGCCGAUGUCGGAUUAGCUAGUUGGCGGGGUAAAGGCCCACCAAGGCGACGAUCCGUAGCUGGUCUGAGAGGAUGAUCAGCCACACUGGAACUGAGACACGGUCCAGACUCCUACGGGAGGCAGCAGUGGGGAAUAUUGGACAAUGGGCGCAAGCCUGAUCCAGCCAUACCGCGUGGGUGAAGAAGGCCUUCGGGUUGUAAAGCCCUUUUGUUGGGAAAGAAAAGCAGCAGGUUAAUACCCCGCUGUUCUGACGGUACCCAAAGAAUAAGCACCGGCUAACUUCGUG
RNAcentral lists this ribosomal RNA (492 nucleotides) under uncultured bacterium. RNAcentral describes it as "partial 16S ribosomal RNA". It matches the Rfam family "Bacterial small subunit ribosomal RNA", at positions 29 to 507 of the family's 1533-position model. The record is from RNAcentral.